Molecule: transfer RNA, 53 nt
Filed under: Hogna radiata
Lineage: Eukaryota; Metazoa; Arthropoda; Arachnida; Araneae; Lycosidae
Description: tRNA-Leu
Source: RNAcentral
AUUAUAUUGGCAGAAUAAUGCAUUAGAAUUAGAAUCUAAUUAACUAAAUAUAU